Molecule: ribosomal RNA, 477 nt
Filed under: uncultured bacterium
Lineage: Bacteria
Description: bacterial SSU rRNA
Rfam family: Bacterial small subunit ribosomal RNA
Source: RNAcentral
GGCUCAGGAUGAACGCUGGCGGCGUGCUUAACACAUGCAAGUCGAACGAAGAUGCCGGAGUGCUUGCACUUUGGCAGACUGAGUGGCGGACGGGUGAGUAACGCGUGGGUAACCUGCCUCAUACAGGGGGAUAACAGUUGGAAACGACUGCUAAUACCGCAUAAGCGCACAGGACCGCAUGGUCUGGUGUGAAAAACUCUGGUGGUAUGAGAUGGACCCGCGUCUGAUUAGCCAGUUGGCGGGGUAACGGCCCACCAAAGCGACGAUCAGUAGCCGACCUGAGAGGGUGACCGGCCACAUUGGGACUGAGACACGGCCCAAACUCCUACGGGAGGCAGCAGUGGGGAAUAUUGCACAAUGGGGGAAACCCUGAUGCAGCGACGCCGCGUGAGCGAAGAAGUAUUUCGGUAUGUAAAGCUCUAUCAGCAGGGAAGAAGAAUGACGGUACCUGACUAAGAAGCACCGGCUAAAUACGUG